CUUUCAGGAGACACCUGUGUCAGGCACGACGUGGUGAACUUUUAAAAACGGAUUCAGUAGUACCAAAAUACUCAUAAUGUGCAGACAGACAAAAGAACUGGAAGGAGUCGUGUUUUCAGACACAGGAAGCUUUUCACGUGCUCCACCUGGACCUCAUCUCUCAGCCUCACACUCCGAUCUUCAGCAGCCCCCGCUAUGCGCCCGAGUCUUGGGACGUCAUCCCGGAGCUCCUAGCCUGCCCGGGAGGCAGAGCCAUCAGUUGUCUAUCUUUUAGAUUCUCCUCUUGGCCCCUUAUCCCAACUAAACACAUCACCACUGAGGACCUGUCCAGGGGUUUAGCUCCUGAUGAAGAGACAGAGAAAAGGUCAGAGAAAGGAAGGGUGACGCUCCAUCCAAGAUGACUACAGCGCUAUGAUUUCCAGAUGGGGAAGGUCACGGAUGCUGGACGCAACAGAAUCUCAACAGGGACCCGAGAGAGAGAGGCUCCUCUCUCCCUACACUAAUAUCCCACGAUCCCUGUGUCACUUUCCAGAACACACUGUCAGUUCCAUGGACCUAGGAUUAUAAAAUCCUGUAAGAUUUAUACAGAAAAUAUAAAAAUCUGGGGAGGGGGAACUGUGAAACAAUGUGAAAAAAACUAUUUGUCAAAUGGACAGUGGGGAAUAACUUCUCCUCCCGCACCUCCUCCAAGCUUCUAACAACACUCAUGGCACACAAUACAGAGGAGACUGCCAUAAAAAUGACUUAAAAUGUGCCCUUUUGAGGUAAAGUAACUAUGGGACAAGUGACUAUAAAAAUGACACAGCUG
RNAcentral lists this long non-coding RNA (808 nucleotides) under Homo sapiens (human). RNAcentral's name for it is "HSALNT0317430". The record is from RNAcentral. Lineage: Eukaryota; Metazoa; Chordata; Mammalia; Primates; Hominidae.